AGUCCUUCGGGAUGAGUAAAGUGGCGCACGGGUGAGUAAUGCGUAGAUAAUCUGCCUGGUGAUCUGGGAUAACAUCUCGAAAGGGGUGCUAAUACCGGAUAAGCCCACGGAGUCUUCGGACUUUGCGGGAAAAGAGGGGGACCUUCGGGCCUUCUGUCACCAGAUGAGUCUACGUACCAUUAGCUAGUUGGUGGGGUAAGAGCCCACCAAGGCUACGAUGGUUAGCUGGUCUGAGAGGAUGAUCAGCCACACUGGAACUGAGACACGGUCCAGACUCCUACGGGAGGCAGCAGUGGGGAAUUUUGCGCAAUGGGGGAAACCCUGACGCAGCAACGCCGCGUGAGUGAUGAAGGCCUUCGGGUCGUAAAGCUCUGUCAGAGGGAAAGAAAUGUGGGUGGCUAAUAUCCAUUCCGCUUGACGGUACCCUCAAAGGAAGCACCGGCUAACUCCGUGCCAGCAGCCGCGGUAAUACGGAGGGUGCGAGCGUUGUUCGGAAUUAUUGGGCGUAAAGCGCGUGUAGGCGGUUUUAUAAGUCUGAUGUGAAAGCCCCGGGCUCAACCUGGGAAGUGCAUUGGAAACUGUAAGACUUGAGUACGGGAGAGGGCAGUGGAAUUCCUAGUGUAGGAGUGAAAUCCGUAGAUAUUAGGAGGAACACCGGUGGCGAAGGCAGCUGCCUGGACCGAUACUGACGCU
Molecule: ribosomal RNA, 693 nt
Filed under: uncultured bacterium
Lineage: Bacteria
Description: bacterial SSU rRNA
Rfam family: Bacterial small subunit ribosomal RNA
Source: RNAcentral